This 73-nucleotide transfer RNA is filed under the name Candida tropicalis. RNAcentral describes it as "tRNA-Trp (CCA) (tRNA-Trp-CCA-1 1 to 4)". It matches the Rfam family "tRNA". Rfam says of the family: Transfer RNA (tRNA) molecules are approximately 80 nucleotides in length. Their secondary structure includes four short double-helical elements and three loops (D, anti-codon, and T loops). The record is from RNAcentral. RNAcentral also lists the same sequence under 1 other name. Lineage: Eukaryota; Fungi; Ascomycota; Pichiomycetes; Serinales; Debaryomycetaceae.
GACUCUAUGGCUCAAUUGGCAGAGCAUCGGAUUCCAAAUCCGAAGGUUACAGGUUCAAGUCCUGUUAGGGUCA